GAAGAGAGAUUUUAUAUUCAUUCUAUCAAAUUUAGGAAAUAAUUUAUUCCCAUAUGUUUCAUGAUACGCAAUUAAUAAAAAAAAUCUCAAAACCAAAUCUUCCAAUCUUAACCAUCUCAUUCUUCGAUCACACCAAAUCUUGAACAACCACCAUUCAUCAUCAUAACCUUAAACUCAUCAAAGUUGAUCAUACCAUCCCCAUCUCGAUCAACACCCGCGAUCAUCUUCCUACACUCUUCGACGCUACACUCUUCCCCCAAACUCCCCAACACAUUACACAACUCAUCCGCGGUAAUCAACCCGUUGUUAUCGACAUCAAAAACAGAAAACGCGUCUUUCAAAGUCUCCAACAACUCAACGGAUCCAAUAUCUUUGGUAUUCAACUCGAUGAACUCUUUCAAACCGAUAAACCCGUCUCCAUCAAGUUCAUUUAUUAUUAUUUGUAACUCAUUUUCUGUUGGCUCGUGACCUAGGCUUCUCAUCAUUGAUCCAAGUUCGGAUGACGAGAUCUUGCCGUCGCCGUUAACAUCGAAUUUGUUGAAUACUUGUUCUAGCUCUUCUUCGAUCCGCAUACGCACCACACGUGAAACGACGACGUUUUGGGGGGUGUUUUUUGAGUUUUUCUUUGUUUUUCGGUUGAAUAGAUUCUUUAAACCCAUGAUGGAUUAAAGAAGGAUGGUUGGGGUGUGUUUUAGGGGGGCGUAAUUGGUGUAUUUGUAUAGGAUUCACGGGAGUUUUGUGUGUAGCGCACGUCCAUAUAAUUAGGAAACUCAAACCGACUCAAUAUGUAUGAUAUAUAGCUAAUUUUCCAUGUAUUUUGGAACAUUUAUGUGGGGUUGGGGAUAAAUAGUAUUAAAUUCUUUUAAUACCCUUUUUAAUUUUAAUAUAUAUGUCCUUAUUUUUUACCAGUAAUUUCACGGUCGUGUUUACAGACGGGUGGGUUACCGGAUUUUCCCCCUAAUUGGUGGUGGUUGUUGUGUCCCGUAAAAAUGAUAUAA
Molecule: long non-coding RNA, 998 nt
Filed under: Helianthus annuus (common sunflower)
Lineage: Eukaryota; Viridiplantae; Streptophyta; Magnoliopsida; Asterales; Asteraceae
Description: hypothetical non coding rna
Source: RNAcentral